This 435-nucleotide ribosomal RNA is filed under the name uncultured bacterium. Its description in RNAcentral is "bacterial SSU rRNA". It matches the Rfam family "Bacterial small subunit ribosomal RNA", at positions 29 to 510 of the family's 1533-position model. The record is from RNAcentral.
AGCGAACGCUGGCGGCAGGCCUAACACAUGCAAGUCGAGCGCUCGUAGCAAUACGAGAGCGGCAGACGGGAGAGUAACACGUGGGAACGUACCCUUUGGUUCGGAACAACACAGGGAAACUUGUGCUAAUACCGAAUAAGCCCUUACGGGAAAGAUUUAUCGCCGAAGGAUCGGCCCGCGUCUGAUUAGCUAGUUGGUGGGGUAACGGCUCACCAAGGCGACGAUCAGUAGCNGGUCUGAGAGGAUGACCAGCCUCAUUGGGACUGAGACACGGCCCAAACUCCUACGGGAGGCAGCAGUGGGGAAUAUUGGACAAUGGGCGCAAGCCUGAUCCAGCCAUGCCGCGUGGAUGAUGAAGGCCUUAGGGUUGUAAAGUCCUUUAACGGGAAGAUAAUGACGGUACCCGUAGAAUAAGCCCCGGCUAACUUCGUGCCA